Molecule: ribosomal RNA, 535 nt
Filed under: uncultured Acidobacteriota bacterium
Lineage: Bacteria; Pseudomonadati; Acidobacteriota
Description: bacterial SSU rRNA
Rfam family: Bacterial small subunit ribosomal RNA
Source: RNAcentral
UUGAUCCUGGCUCAGAAUCAACGCUGGCGGCGUGCCUAACACAUGCAAGUCGAACGCGAAAACCCCGCAAGGGGUUAGUAGAGUGGCGAACGGGUGAGUUACACGUGGGUGACCUACCUUCGAAUGGGGGAUAACGUCCCGAAAGGGACUCUAAUACCGCAUAACAUCCUGCUUUUGAACAGGUGGAGAUCAAAGCCGGUGAUCGUAAGACCUGGCGUUUGAAGAGGGGCCCGCGUCUGAUUAGCUAGUUGGUGAGGUAACGGCCCACCAAGGCGACGAUCAGUAUCCGGCCUGAGAGGUCGGACGGACACACUGGGACUGAGACACGGCCCAGACUCCUACGGGAGGCUGCAGUGGGGAAUUGUUCGCAAUGGGCGCAAGCCUGACGACGCAACGCCGUGUGGAGGAUGAAGGUCUUCGGAUUGUAAACUCCUGUUGCCCGGGACGAAUAGCUUCGACCUAACACGUCGAAGUCUGACGGUACCGGGUGAGGAAGCCCUGGCUAACUCUGUGCCAGCAGCCGCGGUAAUAAGGU